AUUGAACGCUGGCGGCAUGCCUUACACAUGCAAGUCGAACGGCAGCACGGGUGCUUGCACCUGGUGGCGAGUGGCGAACGGGUGAGUAAUAUAUCGGAACGUACCUUAUUGUGGGGGAUAACGCAGCGAAAGCUACGCUAAUACCGCAUAAUCCCUAAGGGGGAAAGCGGGGGACCGUAAGGCCUCGCGCAAUUAGAGCGGCCGAUACCUGAUUAGCUAGUUGGUGCGGUAAAGGCUCACCAAGGCAACGAUCAGUAGCUGGUCUGAGAGGACGAUCAGCCACACUGGGACUGAGACACGGCCCAGACUCCUACGGGAGGCAGCAGUGGGGAAUUUUGGACAAUGGGGGCAACCCUGAUCCAGCAAUGCCGCGUGAGUGAAGAAGGCCUUCGGGUUGUAAAGCUCCUUUGUCAGGGAAGAAACAGCAGCUCUAACACAGUUUGCGAAUGACGGUACCUGAAGAAUAAGCACCGGCUAACUACGUGCCAGCCGCCGCAGUAA
This 501-nucleotide ribosomal RNA is filed under the name uncultured bacterium. Its description in RNAcentral is "partial 16S ribosomal RNA". It matches the Rfam family "Bacterial small subunit ribosomal RNA", at positions 30 to 523 of the family's 1533-position model. The record is from RNAcentral.